Molecule: ribosomal RNA, 482 nt
Filed under: uncultured bacterium
Lineage: Bacteria
Description: partial 16S ribosomal RNA
Rfam family: Bacterial small subunit ribosomal RNA
Source: RNAcentral
AUUGAACGCUGGCGGCAUGCCUUACACAUGCAAGUCGAACGGUAACGGGCCUUCCGUUGCCGUCGAGUGUCGAAGGGGGGAGGAAUAGAUCCGCAUGUACACGCUCGCUGUGGAACAGGGGGCGAAAGCUUUGCUAAUACCGCAUACGAGAUACGAUUUAGAGCAGGGUACUUCAAUGCCUUAAGCGGGUGUUGCGGCCGAUGGCAGAUUAGCUAGUUGGGGGGAUAAAAGCUUACCAAGCCGACGAUUUGUAGCUGGCCUGAGAGGAUGAUCAGCCACACUGGAACUGAGACACGGCCCAGACUCCUACGGGAGGCAGCAGUAGGGAAUCUUCGACAAAGGGCGAAAGCCUGAUCCAGCCAUGCCGCGUGAAGGAUGAAGGCCUUCGGGUUGUAAAAUUCUUCUGUAAGGAAAGAAAAGACUUCUUAGAAACCAGGAGCGUCAUGACGGUACCGUAAGAAAAAGCCCCGGCUAACUACGUG